ACGACUCUCGACAACGGAUAUCUCGGCUCUCGCAUCGAUGAAGAACGUAGCGAAAUGCGAUACUUGGUGUGAAUUGCAGAAUCCCGUGAACCAUCGAGUCUUUGAACGCAAGUUGCGCCCGAAGCCAUUAGGCUGAGGGCACGUCUGCCUGGGUGUCA
RNAcentral lists this ribosomal RNA (158 nucleotides) under Ligusticum jeholense. Its description in RNAcentral is "5.8S ribosomal RNA". It matches the Rfam family "5.8S ribosomal RNA". Rfam says of the family: 5.8S ribosomal RNA (5.8S rRNA) is a component of the large subunit of the eukaryotic ribosome. It is transcribed by RNA polymerase I as part of the 45S precursor that also contains 18S and 28S rRNA. Lineage: Eukaryota; Viridiplantae; Streptophyta; Magnoliopsida; Apiales; Apiaceae. RNAcentral also lists the same sequence under 2 other names. The record is from RNAcentral.